GCACACCCUGGGCAGGAUAUAAGCCCGUUGGGGUCCUAUGCUCUGUCCAAGAAGGGGAAGGCGACGGCCGACAUCACCUAUAGCCGGGACGACCCUCCUGAGGCAUACACCAACUCCACCGUCCAUAGCCGGAUCAGCUCAUACUGUGAUUCGGCACAUGCGAUCCAUGGCCCUGACUUCGAUCCCUACAAUGAGGCCAUCAGUGGAGAAGCAGCCAUGAGGGUAGGGGGAGGCAAGCAACAUGGGCGGUACUGGGUUGCUGACCCCUUGAUUGACUCCUCGAGGACUCCUACUCUCUCCCAGAUCAGAGCAAAGGACAGGCGCCAGGGCCAAAGCAGCUCAGGGGUGCGCUCGAGGCCGACUGCAGCCGAGUGCAUCAUCACCAACCUCCAGACCCAGCUUUCGCAAAAGGAAGUCAGGAUCACCGAGUUAGAGACACAGUACAGGGAGAUGGCCAUCUACAUGCGAACUCUUGGGCUCAGAUGGGAGCACCUCCGCCACCAAACUUGUACAUUCCACCCGCUCUAGGUGGACCUAGCCCACUUCACUCCCAGGGUUCUACUCAAGCACCCAAUGAGCAAAGUCCUCAAGACGGUGGGUGGAGCGACCAUGUCAAUCCGUACCAACCUCCAGGCGAUUCAUGGGGCAGACGAGAUGGAUUUGGUUGGUGAACUUGUAGUUUGUUUAUGGAAUUUGUCGUUUUGUCGGACGUGUUGUUGAACUUGUGGUUUCCUCAGACUUGUGAUGGAAUUGAUGAUGAACAUGUGUUUAUGUAUGACAUGUACGUUAUAUGUAUGUGAGAGAUUUGGUA
Sorghum bicolor (sorghum) is the source of this 811-nucleotide long non-coding RNA. RefSeq lists it as uncharacterized. The transcript has 3 exons. Lineage: Eukaryota; Viridiplantae; Streptophyta; Magnoliopsida; Poales; Poaceae. The record is from RefSeq and is a predicted model, not a curated record.